CGCUCGCCCCCCCCCCUCUCUCUCUCUCUCUCGCGCGCGCGCCGGCCACCAGUCGCCUCUCUCACGCGCGCACGACGCCGCUCUCUCCCUGUUGAUGCGCCCUCUCUCUCCCUCUCGGCGGCAUCUUGCUCCGCGCCGCUGCUCACCGCUCCCCACCACCCUGGUUCACACAAAGUUGCAAUUUUUAUUCGUCGGCGACGCGUUGCUGGGCGUGAGGAGUCGCUGAAGCGGAGCCCGAGCAGCGCCGGCGCGGGCGUGAAGACGACGGCGGGAGGAGCUGGAGCCCGAGCGGGAGGAUCUGGAGCUGCAUCUCAAGUAUUGAAGCCACCCCGGCGACACAACGGCGCUUGAUGUGGAGCGGCACCUGAGCAGCGGAGUCUGCGGUCAUAUCCACGGUGACGGCGCCGCCGCCAAAGAGCAAGUAGUAGGCGAGGAGAUGAACCUAGGCGAGCAGCUCCUGCGCAACGGUGAGUAAUUCAGCGGCAGCAGCACCUGUGUGUGAGGAGGAACAACCCCUGGGCGCGCGGGGGUGGCAGCUCGCCUCCACCAGCGGGCGGCAGCAGAGCACCAACUCGCCUACCACCUGGGCGUGCGGGCGUAGGAGAGGAUCCCCUAGGCGUGGGAGAGGAGGAGCGCCUGGGCGGGGGUGGAGG
Molecule: long non-coding RNA, 653 nt
Organism: Triticum aestivum (bread wheat)
Lineage: Eukaryota; Viridiplantae; Streptophyta; Magnoliopsida; Poales; Poaceae
Exons: 3
Source: RefSeq, a predicted model, not a curated record